RNAcentral lists this ribosomal RNA (253 nucleotides) under uncultured bacterium. RNAcentral describes it as "partial 16S ribosomal RNA". It matches the Rfam family "Bacterial small subunit ribosomal RNA", at positions 524 to 776 of the family's 1533-position model. The record is from RNAcentral.
UACGGAGGGGGCGAGCGUUGUCCGAAUUUACUGGGCGUAAAGCGCGCGUAGGCGGGAGUUUAAGUCCGCUGUGAAAGCCCGGGGCUCACCCCCGGAGGGUCGGUGGAUACUGGACUUCUUGAAGGUGCUAGGGGGAGAUGGAAUUACCGGUGUAGCGGUGAAAUGCGUAGAUAUCGGUAGGAACACCAGUGGCGAAGGCGGUCUCCUGGGGCACUCUUGACGCUGAGGCGCGAAAGCUGGGGGAGCGAACGGG